Long non-coding RNA from Callorhinchus milii (elephant shark), 633 nucleotides. RefSeq lists it as uncharacterized. The record is from RefSeq and is a predicted model, not a curated record. NCBI's taxonomy places the organism in Eukaryota, Metazoa, Chordata, Chondrichthyes, Chimaeriformes, Callorhinchidae. The transcript is spliced from 3 exons.
UGCAGAAAGCAAAGACGUCAAAGACCAUAUUUAAACCUGCUGCUACUGAAGUUUGUGCAUAGAAAUUCCAGAGCCAUCAAGCACGAAGUCCGAAGAAACAAUCACCAGUGAGCAGCGAGCAGUUUCUGGCAGUAACCAUUCCGUAAACGGCCGAUCGGUGUCCUCGGGCUCCGGGACUCCCAGCACAUUCGGCUCCAGCAAUGGCAAACGCUUGCGAGCCGACCACGGGCAGAAAUCAGAGGCCUACAAAUCCAUUUUCACCUCCCACAGCUCAGCAAAGCGCUCAAAGGACCAGGAGCCAAACUGGAUCACUCACACUGCAUACUACUUCUGAAACAGCCAGAACCAGAUACCAUCACCGCCUACUUUAGUUAGUAAACCCAGGAGAUUAAAUUUCUUUCCUCUAUGUGGACUUUUUCUCUAGGAGCUCUUCCUAAUUCUGCCGAGACUCUUCAAUCCUGGUGGUAAUGAAAGUGAAAAUGUUUAAUUGGUGAUGGGAUCAGACUGAAGUGGUGAGACUUACCUCGGGUCCAGAGCUCAAACUAAUUAUUGCUCAAACGCGCUUCCAAUUGUCUACUGGUGGCUUUACUCUCAUGAAAACUCUUCAUUUUGCUUAAUAAAUCUCACAAAGGA